RNAcentral lists this ribosomal RNA (541 nucleotides) under uncultured bacterium. RNAcentral describes it as "bacterial SSU rRNA". It matches the Rfam family "Bacterial small subunit ribosomal RNA", at positions 355 to 896 of the family's 1533-position model. The record is from RNAcentral.
UGAGGAAUAUUGGUCAUUGGGCGCGAGCCUGAACCAGCCAAGUCGCGUGAAGGAUGACUGUCUUAUGGAUUGUAAACUUCUUUUGUAGGGGAAUAAAGAGGGGCACGUGUGCCUCAGUGAAUGUACCCUACGAAUAAGCAUCGGCUAACUCCGUGCCAGCAGCCGCGGUAAUACGGAGGAUGCGAGCGUUAUCCGGAUUUAUUGGGUUUAAAGGGUGCGUAGGCGGCCUGUUAAGUCAGCGGUGAAAUCUAGGGGCUUAACUCCUAAAUUGCCAUUGAUACUGGUGGGCUUGAGUGUAGAUGAGGUAGGCGGAAUGCGUGGUGUAGCGGUGGAAUGCAUAGAUAUCACGCAGAACUCCAAUUGCGAAGGCAGCUUACUAAGGUACAACUGACGCUGAAGCACGAAAGCGUGGGUAUCAAACAGGAUUAGAUACCCUGGUAGUCCACGCAGUAAACGAUGAUAACUGGGCGUAUGCGAUAUACAGUAUGCUCCUAAGCGAAAGCGUUAAGUUAUCCACCUGGGGAGUACGCCGGCAACGGUG